UGAAGGGGAGUUUGAAAUGAAAAGGGAGAUGGAGAGAGGGAGAUGGGAUCGGAGGCUAGGAGAGAAGAGAUUGCGAUAUUAGAUCUGACAAACGGUCAAAACUGACUCAUAAUCCAAACUGACUCUUAAUUGUAUCUGAUUCUUUCAUCCUGAUGCCCCUCAUCGUCCUCAUGUCCCCUCCUUAAUUUCUCCUUUUUCUUUUCCUUUACACUCUUUCCAAUUCUCUCUCUCUCAUUAUCCCAUGUGUGGGUGCAGGGCACAACUUCAAUGUCACCCGCUUCUUCAAGGAGUCUCUAAACCUUCCCCUUUUUCUCCCUGUCCCUCAUGUCCAACUCAUUUUUACCCCAUCCCUGCACCUCUCCAACCCCUCCAACGUGCCCCUUGAGUCCCGGUACUCUCGCCCCGUGCAGCUGAUCAGGGAUGGCCAGAUUGUGGACCAGGACCCCCGGUACUGGGGCCUCCUUUCUCUGGGGAGAAACGGGACUGUCAACGAGGUGGUCAUCACCAGGCUGAGUGCAAAGCAUGAUGGGAUGUAUGAGAUCCGAGAUCAGGGCGGCAACCUGGUGUCGUCCACCAUUCUCCAUGUGGUCGGUGAGUGACUGUGUGUGUGUGAGUGAGCAGGAGCUUUCCCCUUUACAUGAUGCAGAGAUAUCUUUCUUCAACUCCCCGCUCACUCACUCUUUCUCCCUUCCUUUUUCUCUCUCCAGAUAAGACUGCUAGAUGGAGAGCAGUCCUCAAGUCCAUCAGUGUUCCUUUUGGCAUGUUUGUGACUUUGGCUGGUUUCAUCCUAUUUAUGAAGCGCUACCCUAACUGCAGCCUCACUAUGAUAAUCAACGGCCUAAGAGGUCACCAUACAACAGCAUCUAACCAUCAAAGAGUCAAUGUCCAGGACUACAGUCCACCCAGCCUCCAGCCCUCUGGCAUUUAGUCAUUCAAAGCAGAUUGUAACGGCAAAAAUAUGGAGCCCCAGACCUACACAUUCGGGUUACAUUCCUGUCGUGGACAGUGGACCACAGCCCUCCCCUGAGCCAGUGAGGACAGCGAGACAACAGGAGACCGAUAGACUUAGAGUUGAGACUGCCACUACUCACACUCCUAGUGAAGAGGAGACUGCUGACAGAGAGAGGGAGAUCUCCUUUCAAAUCAAAUCAAAUCAAAUUUAUUUAUAUAGCCCUUCGUACAUCAGCUGAAAUCUCAAAGUGCUGUACAGAAACCCAGCCUAAAACCCCAAACAGCAAGCAAUGCAUGUGAAAGAAGCACGGUGGCUGGGAAAAACUCCCUAGGAAAAACUCCUGAGAAAGGCCAAAAACCUAGGAAGAAACCUAGAGAGGAACCAGGCUAUGAGGGGUGGCCAGUCCUCUUCUGGCUGUGCCGGGUGGAUAUUAUAACAGAACAUGGUCAAGAUGUUAAAAUGUUCGUAAAUGACCAGCAUGGUCAAAUAAUAAUAAUCAUAGUAAUUGUCGAGGGUGCAACAAGCACGUCCGGUGAAACAGGUCAGGGUUCCGUAGCCCGCAGGCAGAACAGUUGAAACUGGAGCAGCAGCAUGGCCAGGUGGACUGGGGACAGCAAGGAGUCAUCAUGCCAGGUAGUCCUGAGGCAUGGUCCUAGGGCUCAGGUCCUCCGAGAGAAAGAAAGAAAGAAAGAGAGAAGAGAGAAUUAGAGAGAGCAUAUUUACAUUCACACAGGACACCGGAUAAGACAAGAGAAUACUCCAGAUGUAACAGACUGACCCUAGCCCCCCGACACAUAAACUACUGCAGCAUAAAUACUGGAGGCUGAGACAGGAGGGAUCAGAAGACACUGUGGCCCCAUCCGAUGAUACCCCCGGACAGGGCCAAACAGGCAGGAUAUAACCCCACCCACUUUGCCAAAGCACAGCCCCCACACCACUAGAGGGAUAUCUACAACCACCAACUUACCGUCCGAAGACAAGGCCGAGUAUAGCCCACAAAGAUCUCCGCCACGGCACAACCCAAGGGGGGGGCGCCAACCCAGACAGGAAGACCACGUCAGUGGCUCAACCUACUCAAGUGACGCACCCCUCCCAUGGACGGCAUGGAAGAACACCAGUAAGUCAGUGACUCAGCCCCUGUAAAAGGGUUAGAGGCAGAGAAUCCCAGUGGGAAGAGGGGAACCGACAAGGCAGAGACAGCAAGGGCGGUUCGUUGCUCCAGCCUUUCCGUUCACCUUCACACUCCUGGGCCAGACUAUACUUAAUCAUAGGACCUACUGAAGAGAUAAGUCUUCAGUAAAGACUUAAAGGUUGAGACUGAGUCUGCGUCUCUCACAUGGGUAGGCAGACCAUUCCAUAAAAAUGGAGCUCUAUAGGAGAAAGCCCUACCUCCAGCCGUUUGCUUAGAAAUUCUAGGGACAAUUAGGAGGCCUGCGUCUUGUGACCGUAGCGUACGUGUAGGUAUGUACGGCAGGACCAAAUCGGAAAGAUAGGUAGGAGCAAGCCCAUGUAAUGCUUUGUAGGUUAGCAGUAAAACCUUGAAAUCAGCCCUUGCCUUAACAGGAAGCCAGUGUAGGGAGGCUAGCACUGGAGUAAUAUGAUCAAAUUUUUUGGUUCUAGUCAGGAUUCUAGCAGCCGUAUUUAGCACUAACUGAAGUUUGUUUAGUGCUUUAUCCAGGUAGCCGGAAAGUAGAGCAUAGCAGUAGUCGAGCCUAGAAGUAACAAAAGCAUGGAUUAAUUUUUCUGCGUCAUUUUUGGACA
This is a long non-coding RNA of Salmo trutta (river trout), 2713 nucleotides long. The record is from Ensembl. NCBI's taxonomy places the organism in Eukaryota, Metazoa, Chordata, Actinopteri, Salmoniformes, Salmonidae.